UACGGAGGGUGCAAGCGUUAUCCGGAUUUACUGGGUUUAAAGGGUGUGUAGGCGGACUUUUAAGUCAGGGGUGAAAUCCCGAGGCUCAACCUCGGAACUGCCUUUGAUACUAUUGGUCUUGAAUGUUGUUGAGGUGGGCGGAACGGGUCAUGUAGCGGUGAAAUGCACAGAUAUGACCCGGAACACCGAUUGCGAAGGCAGCCCGCUAAGCAACUAUUGACGCUGAGGCACGAAAGCGUGGGGAUCAAACAGG
This 253-nucleotide ribosomal RNA is filed under the name uncultured bacterium. Its description in RNAcentral is "partial 16S ribosomal RNA". It matches the Rfam family "Bacterial small subunit ribosomal RNA", at positions 524 to 776 of the family's 1533-position model. The record is from RNAcentral.